GAAGUGCUGCUGAGUCUUCUCUAUUUGAUGGGGGAGGGACAACAGGAGGUUUGGAAUCUUAAGGAGCAAGAAGGUUCUGACUGGAAGAUAGAUAGUUCUCUCAGCCUUGAAAUGGAAAAGGGGAAGGUCUGACCAAGACUUGAUCCUGAGAAAAGACUCAUCUUUUUCUCCUGGUGACUGGACAUCCUUCCCCCCAUCAAUUCCCAACCAAAGUGGCCAGCUGGAGAAGACAACAAAGACUCUCUACCAUUCUUAUGCUAACAGUCUGUAUGAUGAAGCUUCCAGGAUUCUUCUUUUGAUCAUGUGGGUACUCCCUCUACUGGUGAACAUAGGACUCCUACACUGGAGAAUACUAUCUUCAAGACUUUCUGUGGCUGGGAAAAAUCAAUGUAUUCUAAAGAGCUUUCCUGAGUCCAGUAUUUCAAACUUCCUACUAAGUCUUACCAGCUAAUGUAAUGUACUCAAGGCAUAAAGAAUAUAUAUGAUGUUUAUAAAUCAUCUAAAUACUAAAUAAAUAAAAAAAGAAGUGAUUUCA
RNAcentral lists this long non-coding RNA (535 nucleotides) under Monodelphis domestica (gray short-tailed opossum). RNAcentral describes it as "lncRNA (ENSMODG00000032662.2)". The record is from RNAcentral. Lineage: Eukaryota; Metazoa; Chordata; Mammalia; Didelphimorphia; Didelphidae.